AUGGCCGGAGCGCUCGCGUACGAGGAGCAGCGCCGGAGGCAGAUGGAGGAGAACGAUCGCAAGCUGGAGGAGCUGGGUCUGCACCAGCUCUCCGCAGCCGUCAGGGAGGCCGCCGGCCGCAAGCCCUCGCCGGUCAGAUUGGAGGCCAAGUCUGUGAAGCCGAAGCAGGUGCCGCGGGACGCCCCGGUCCGGCAGUCCAGCCGUGUGGCCAGCCUCCCCAAGCAGCCCAAGUACCGCUACGAGACAAGUAAUUCCGAACGGAGGGAGAGGGGGAGCAGCACGAGGAGUGACAUAAUUAAUCGAGUGGACGCCACAGACGAGGCCAGACUCCAUGCCAACUCCGAGGCCCAGGAGCUGCUGCGUAAGCUGGUGCCCGGCGGCAACCCCAGCUUUGUCAAGCCCAUGAAACAGUCUCAUGUCACCGGAGGCUUCUGGCUCGGCCUCCCGUCGCACUUCUGCGGCCUGUAUCUCCCGGGGAGUGAUGAUACCAUCACUCUGGAGGAUGAGGAGGGCGUCGAGUACAAAACGCGCUACCUCGCGCUUAAGACGGGCCUCAGCGCCGGAUGGAGAAGGUUCGCCUUGGACCACAACCUGGUUGAUGGUGACUGCUUGGUCUUCGAGUGGGUCGUGUGGAAUACCUUCUAUGUCUACAUUAUCAGACAAAGUUCCUACUACAAAUGA
RNAcentral lists this ribosomal RNA (681 nucleotides) under Triticum aestivum (bread wheat). RNAcentral's name for it is "partial small subunit ribosomal RNA". Lineage: Eukaryota; Viridiplantae; Streptophyta; Magnoliopsida; Poales; Poaceae. The record is from RNAcentral.